GAUGAAGAACGCAGCGAAAUGCGAUAAGUAAUGCGAAUUGCAGAAUCCGUGAGUCAUCGAAUCUUUGAACGCACAUUGCGCCCCUUGGUAUCCCGAGGGGCAUGCCUGUUCGAGCGUCAUUUCACCACUCAAGCCUGGCUUGGUGUUGGGCGACGUCCUCUUUGGGGACGCGCCUCGAAACGCUCGGCGGCGUGGCACCGGCUUUAAGCGUAGCAGAAUCUUUCGCUUUGGAAGUCGGGGCCCCGUCUGCCGGAAGACCUGCUCGCAAGGUUGACCUCGGAUCAGGCAGGGAUACCCGCUGAACUUAAGCAUAUCAAUAAGCGGAGGA
RNAcentral lists this unclassified non-coding RNA (328 nucleotides) under soil metagenome. RNAcentral describes it as "partial contains 5.8S ribosomal RNA, internal transcribed spacer 2, and large subunit ribosomal RNA". The stretch from base 1 to 119 matches the Rfam family "5.8S ribosomal RNA", at positions 35 to 154 of the family's 154-position model. The record is from RNAcentral.